GUUGAAGAACGUAGCGAAAUGCGAUAAGUAAUGUGAAUUGCAGAAUUCAGUGAAUCAUCGAAUCUUUGAACGCACAUUGCGCCCGCCAGUAUUCUGGCGGGCAUGCCUGUUCGAGCGUCAUUUCAACCCUCAUGCCCCCAGUGCCUGGUGUUGGGGAUCGGCCCAGCCUUCCUGUAAGGCCGCCGGCCCCGAAAUCUAGUGGCGGUCUCGCUGUAGUCCUCCUCUGCGUAGUAGCACAACCUCGCAGUUGGAACGCGGCGGUGGCCAUGCCGUUAAACACCCCACUUCUGAAAGUUGACCUCGGAUCAGGUAGGAAUACCCGCUGAACUUAAGCAUAUCAAUAAGCGGAGGA
RNAcentral lists this unclassified non-coding RNA (352 nucleotides) under soil metagenome. RNAcentral's name for it is "partial contains 5.8S ribosomal RNA, internal transcribed spacer 2, and large subunit ribosomal RNA". The stretch from base 1 to 120 matches the Rfam family "5.8S ribosomal RNA", at positions 35 to 154 of the family's 154-position model. The record is from RNAcentral.